GAUGAACGCUGGCGGCGUGCCUAAUACAUGCAAGUCGAGCGAACAGACGAGGAGCUUGCUCCUCUGACGUUAGCGGCGGACGGGUGAGUAACACGUGGAUAACCUACCUAUAAGACUGGGAUAACUUCGGGAAACCGAAGCUAAUACCGGAUAAUAUAUUGAACCGCAUGGUUCAAUAGUGAAAGACGGUUUUGCUGUCACUUAUAGAUGGAUCCGCGCCGCAUUAGCUAGUUGGUAAGGUAACGGCUUACCAAGGCGACGAUGCGUAGCCGACCUGAGAGGGUGAUCGGCCACACUGGAACUGAGACACGGUCCAGACUCCUACGGGAGGCAGCAGUAAGGAAUCUUCCGCAAUGGGCGAAAGCCUGACGGAGCAACGCCGCGUGAGUGAUGAAGGUCUUCGGAUCGUAAAACUCUGUUAUUAGGGAAGAACAAAUGUGUAAGUAACUAUGCACGUCUUGACGGUACCUAAUCAGAAAGCCACGGCUAACUACGUG
RNAcentral lists this ribosomal RNA (497 nucleotides) under uncultured bacterium. RNAcentral's name for it is "partial 16S ribosomal RNA". It matches the Rfam family "Bacterial small subunit ribosomal RNA", at positions 28 to 507 of the family's 1533-position model. The record is from RNAcentral.